RNAcentral lists this ribosomal RNA (301 nucleotides) under uncultured bacterium. RNAcentral's name for it is "partial 16S ribosomal RNA". It matches the Rfam family "Bacterial small subunit ribosomal RNA", at positions 509 to 807 of the family's 1533-position model. The record is from RNAcentral.
CAGUCGCCGCGGUAAUACGAAGGGGGCUAGCGUUGUUCGGAUUUACUGGGCGUAAAGCGUGCGUAGGCGGUGAGUUAAGUCUGCUGUGAAAUCCCCGGGCUCAACCUGGGAAUGGCAGUGGAUACUGGCAAGCUAGAGUGUGUCAGAGGAUGGUGGAAUUCCCGGUGUAGCGGUGAAAUGCGUAGAGAUCGGGAGGAACAUCAGUGGCGAAGGCGGCCAUCUGGGACAACACUGACGCUGAGGCACGAAAGCGUGGGGAGCAAACAGGAUUAGAUACCCCUGUAGUCCCUGUCUCUUAUAC